RNAcentral lists this ribosomal RNA (346 nucleotides) under uncultured bacterium. RNAcentral's name for it is "partial 16S ribosomal RNA". It matches the Rfam family "Bacterial small subunit ribosomal RNA", at positions 338 to 676 of the family's 1533-position model. The record is from RNAcentral.
CCUACGGGGUGUAGCAGUGGGGAAUAUUGCGCAAUGGGCGAAAGCCUGACGCAGCGACGCCGCGUGAGGGAUGAAGGUCUUCGGAUCGUAAACCUCUGUCAGCAGGGAAGAACGGUCACUGUGCUAAUCAGCAGUGAAUUGACGGUACCUGCAAAGGAAGCACCGGCUAACUCCGUGCCAGCAGCCGCGGUAAUACGGAGGGUGCGAGCGUUAAUCGGAAUUACUGGGCGUAAAGCGCUCGUAGGCGGUAUGUCAAGUCAAGGGUGAAAUCCACGCGCUCAACGUGGGAACUGCCUUUGAAGUUGGCAAAAGUGAGUGUGUGAGAGGAUAGUGGAAUUACAGGGGG